GACGAACGCUGGCAGCGUGCUUAACACAUGCCAGUCGAACGGUGAAGCGCCUUCCUUUUUGGUGGGUGUGGAUGAGUGGCGAACGGGUGAGUAACACGUGAGUAACCUGCCCCCUUCUUCUGGAUAACCGCAUGAAAGUGUGGCUAAUACGGGAUAUUCUGGGUCUGUCGCAUGAUGGGUCUGGGAAAGAUAUUGUUUCGGUGGGGGAUGGGCUCGCGGCCUAUCAGCUUGUUGGUGGGGUGAUGGCCUACCAAGGCGGUGACGGGUAGCCGGCCUGAGAGGGUGGCCGGUCACACUGGGACUGAGACACGGCCCAGACUCCUACGGGAGGCAGCAGUGGGGAAUAUUGCACAAUGGGCGCAAGCCUGAUGCAGCGACGCCGCGUGAGGGAUGGAGGCCUUCGGGUUGUGAACCUCUUUCGCCAGUGAAGCAGGCCUGCCUCGUUUGUGGGUGGGUUGACGGUAGCUGGAUAAGAAGCGCCGGCUAACUACGUG
This 494-nucleotide ribosomal RNA is filed under the name uncultured bacterium. Its description in RNAcentral is "partial 16S ribosomal RNA". It matches the Rfam family "Bacterial small subunit ribosomal RNA", at positions 28 to 507 of the family's 1533-position model. The record is from RNAcentral.